ACAGCAAACUUGAACCUACUAUAGCCAACAUAUACAACAAGGAUCUAAAUGGCUAGGGACCAAGAGAAUGUGCAGUCAAACUCAGUAGCCUCACUGCAAAUAUUCGAUGACACCGCAGGUCAAAAGAUCACUCACACCACUGCAGCAUCAAGAUAACCACUGACGAGUGAGUAGACAUCCAAGUGGUUUCUCGUGUUGAUCAUGC
Molecule: long non-coding RNA, 205 nt
Filed under: Elaeis guineensis (African oil palm)
Lineage: Eukaryota; Viridiplantae; Streptophyta; Magnoliopsida; Arecales; Arecaceae
Description: long non-coding RNA (EGUI_LNC046309)
Source: RNAcentral